AAGUCUCACUAUGUUGCCUAUGCUGGCCUCAACCUCCUGAGCUCAAGGGGUCCUCCCACCUCAGCCUCCCAAAGUUUUAGGCUUACAGACAUCAGCCACCGUGCCUGACCCCUGCUAACAUCUUGAUUUUCGCCCAGAAAGACUCAUUUUGGACUUACGACCUGCAGAUUAUAAGGUAAUAAAUUUGUGUUAUUUAAAUAAAGAUACUACUUUUGAGGUGAUUUAUCACAGCAGUGAUUUUUAAAAAAUGAAUACAAACUUUUUGUAUCCAUUUUUCUUUUUAAAUCAUUGUGUCUUUUCCCUUGGUUACAGACUAUUGUGGCUGUCACUCAGGUUUUCUGCUCAUUGGUAGACAAAAGGUGGGUCUCUCCAUGGUCUGUUGGAACUUCUUCAUGACAUGGUGUCUGAGUUACAAGAACAAGCAUCCCAUGAGAACCAGGUAGGAGCUGUAUUUUCUUUUCUGACCUAGCCCCAGAAGUCAUGAGGCUUCAUUUCCACUAUUGUCAUAAGUCUACCCAGGCUCAAGAGGAGGAUGCAGAGAUGCCCCCUUUCAGUGAGAGGAUUAUCUAAGUCACAUUAAAGAAGAGCAUGUUGGACGGAAGACACUAUUGCAGUAUUUUUGGAAACUAAAGCCUACCCCAUUCUUCAAGCAUUACCGUCAAUUCUCUGGUCUCAGCAUUCUCCCCUUUUGCUUAUGUUAGCCGGAGUUGGUUUCUGCUUUUGCUUGUAACCAAAGAAUAAUGUAGCUGGCAUAAGCACCAACGUAUCAGAAAAAGUAUAAAUAUUUAAAUUUCCUUAUUAAAAGACAGAAGCUCUGAAUUUGUAGAAACAAAGCAAAACAACCCCAACAAAUUAAGAAUGUACAUGCUUUUCAAAUGUCCCACAGAAAAUCAACAACAUUGGACCAGGCCAAAAAGUACGCUUUUAAUAAUUUCUCAAAAGCAACAAUCAUACAUACCAUAUCAUUCCUGUAACAGAUCCAUCGAAACCUGUAAUUCUCAAUUAUUGAAACUUUUUCACUAGAAUGACUUUUGUUUCUCAUUAUACUUUAAGUUACUCCCGGAAGCCAACACAAGAAUUUAUCAUCAUUUUAAACAGCUCUUCUUUAGAAAAUAAAGCUCCAGUUUUCUUUUGUCCAAUUACUGCAGUCUUCCCGCUCCCCGGAAGGCUUCACUGACUUUACUGUAGCCUCACAAAGACUCCAUCUCUGUCUAUUGGUAAGCAUUCUUUAUCACUUUCCAAUUGGUCUUCCCUCUUACUCUUCUUCCCAGUUUUGUACUGGACCUCAGAGCGCCUGAAGGAGCUGAAUUUCCAUGUACUGUCUUCCACAUAAUGAGAUCCGAGGUGAAGAACGUGGUCCCUGGAGUUGAACUGCUUGAAGUCAAAUCCCAAAAUAGAAAAAGAAAAAAAAAUACAGUAGUUUUAUUGUUUUUAUUUCUUGUCUCUCCCUGAUAGAUAGUUUUCUUUAAAAACCAAAUGCUUUUAGAAUAAUAAUGGCAAGUGAUUUUAUCUCUUUUGUAUUAAAUAGGCUUGGAGCAAUUUUCUUAAUUAUCCAGCACGAUUUAAGCCCAAAGGCAAACAUACUUUACCUAAAAUACCACUAUUACACUUUCCCUAAGUGCAGAAAACUACUUUUACUAAAAAUUUGGCAAGCACUUUCCAAACAGCAUUUUCUGUUUUCAUUCCUUGAGAAUUCCCUAACAAGUAUGCAUAGAAAUUUUAAUAUACAGCUGUAAUCCUUCGAUAUUUAUUGUAAAAGUUUAAUUGUUUAUCAUUUUUUUGGAAUUUGCUUAAUCUGCUUAAAUCCUAAAGUGGUUUUCAAUGUAGUUGUAUUAUGGCCAAGUAAUUGAGUUUUCAGCUUGCUUUUCUUUCAAUAUUUUUAGGCUCUAACCUAGUAUCCUGCAACAGUACCUACAUGCCUAGUCAAUGAUGAAACAUACUGUAACUGAAAUGAUGAAAGGGCAUUUAUUCUGAUUACCAAGGCCUAUUCACACCAUGUCAAAAGCCUGGGAUGCUUUGCUUCCUGCUGGCUAUCUCAAUGUGCUUCCACUUUUCCCAUAUAACUUUUUUACAGAACUGGGUCCCAUUUAAUUUUAGAGUUAAAAUGUCCCAUACCCUACCGUACAUGCAAAAUAAUUUUCAGUUUUUUUUAUUUCAUAUUCAUACAUUUGAAUGGUAUAACCCCAGGUUAGCCAGAGCUGGGGAAGGAAGUGGGUAGCCUAACUGGACCUUUACAUGAAGUCAUAGGGUAGAAAAAAGUUCUUAUCAGACUUUUCAAGCUGGACCUUAAAGAUAAGCAACUCCAACACCCUCGUUUUACAGAUAAGGAAACCAAGGUCCAGAAACACUAUGUGACUUGCUCAGCGUUACAGAGUUAGCACAGGAAAGGGCUUUGGGAACUGAAGACUUUGUGCUAAAAAAAGAAAGAAA
Molecule: long non-coding RNA, 2430 nt
Organism: Sapajus apella (tufted capuchin)
Lineage: Eukaryota; Metazoa; Chordata; Mammalia; Primates; Cebidae
Exons: 2
Source: RefSeq, a predicted model, not a curated record